UAGAAUGUGCCGGAGUCAAGCUGGAGACGGUCGUGAAACUCGAAUCAACGGAGAUAUGAGCGAAGGACUUCAAGAUCAAACCUUGAAUUUUCAUGUAACAGGGGUAUAAUAUCAUAUGGAGGUGAGUACUAGCCACCCAGGGCUUGGAACGCCAUUCAUUCCAGUGAAACAACGUGGAAACCGGCGGGAUAAGGCUGGUGAUUCGGAGAGGGUUAGAGAGAGUUUGAGGGACAAAGG
This 237-nucleotide long non-coding RNA is filed under the name Nicotiana benthamiana. RNAcentral's name for it is "long non-coding RNA (NBEN_LNC006569)". Lineage: Eukaryota; Viridiplantae; Streptophyta; Magnoliopsida; Solanales; Solanaceae. The record is from RNAcentral.